This 535-nucleotide ribosomal RNA is filed under the name Colletotrichum gloeosporioides. RNAcentral's name for it is "eukaryotic LSU rRNA". The stretch from base 184 to 337 matches the Rfam family "5.8S ribosomal RNA". Lineage: Eukaryota; Fungi; Ascomycota; Sordariomycetes; Glomerellales; Glomerellaceae. The record is from RNAcentral.
AGGGAUCAUUACUGAGUUUACGCUCUACAACCCUUUGUGAACAUACCUACAACUGUUGCUUCGGCGGGCAGGGUCUCCGUGACCCUCCCGGCCUCCCGCCCCCGGGCGGGUCGGCGCCCGCCGGAGGAUAACCAAACUCUGAUUUAACGACGUUUCUUCUGAGUGGUACAAGCAAAUAAUCAAAACUUUUAACAACGGAUCUCUUGGUUCUGGCAUCGAUGAAGAACGCAGCGAAAUGCGAUAAGUAAUGUGAAUUGCAGAAUUCAGUGAAUCAUCGAAUCUUUGAACGCACAUUGCGCCCGCCAGCAUUCUGGCGGGCAUGCCUGUUCGAGCGUCAUUUCAACCCUCAAGCUCUGCUUGGUGUUGGGGCCCUACGGCUGACGUAGGCCCUCAAAGGUAGUGGCGGACCCUCCCGGAGCCUCCUUUGCGUAGUAACUUUACGUCUCGCACUGGGAUCCGGAGGGACUCUUGCCGUAAAACCCCCAAUUUUCCAAAGGUUGACCUCGGAUCAGGUAGGAAUACCCGCUGAACUUAA